Long non-coding RNA from Osmerus eperlanus (European smelt), 453 nucleotides. RefSeq lists it as uncharacterized. The transcript is spliced from 3 exons. NCBI's taxonomy places the organism in Eukaryota, Metazoa, Chordata, Actinopteri, Osmeriformes, Osmeridae. The record is from RefSeq and is a predicted model, not a curated record.
GUUGCAAAAACAAAAGCACACAAACCAAAAACGCUGCAAAUACAUAAACGCUUUGCAAAAAUGAAAGCAUGCGAACCAAAAACGCUGCAUCCAGUUUUCACAACGGAAGUUCUUCAGGCCUCUAGGGGGAGCGCUAAGUGAGAGCGCUAAGUGGAACAGCUUGAUUUGCGGCCCCACGGAGCAAUAGAGAGAGAGAAGAAGAAGCAUGAGAAGUUUGGACAAACGUCGAAGAGGCAACAUAAAAAGAUGUUCUGUCCAUAUUGUGGAUCUGUCUAAAACAGCUUCCCCUGGGUUUUGUUUUAUGUGUGGCAAAAACAUCUAAAAGCAGUGGCAAACAAAGUCCCUGAGGAUAUGCCUACGACCAGUGCACAUGCUAAUGCACAGCCUAGUGCUGCAGGAAGCUCAGAUGUAGGGUCCUUUAUGACAUUUAGGGCAAUAAAAGAGAGGGAGUGA